This 498-nucleotide ribosomal RNA is filed under the name Perionyx sp. 2 PK-2012. RNAcentral's name for it is "partial 12S ribosomal RNA". Lineage: Eukaryota; Metazoa; Annelida; Clitellata; Crassiclitellata; Megascolecidae. The record is from RNAcentral.
GCCCGACGGGUCGCCCCCCCCCCCGGGGUUCCUGCGCGGAGAUGAGCCGACGAGCGCAGCAAAAAGGGCCUUAUGGCCUGCCCAAUAACCUUGGGGGAUGAUACCCGUCUAUUCAUGACAUAAAGAAAACAACCGAAUAUUACGAACCACAGUUUAAAAUUCAAAGACUUUGGCGGUGUCUUAUAAAACCAGGGGAACCUGUCUCAUAACUCGAUAAUCCACGUUUACCUAACCACUUUUAGAAACCCAGCUUGUGUACUGCCGUUGUAAGCACACCUUUAAAAGAAUUAGUGUGCUACUAUAAUUAUACAUAACUUAUAUACAUCAGGUCAAAGUGCAGCCAAUAUAGUGGUGAUGAUGGGUUACAACUACAAAAAUAAUGCGAAUUACUACAUAAAAAAUACUAUGAAGAUGGACCUGGAUGUAAUUAUAUAUAACACUAAUAAAAUGAACUAAAAUCUAAGACAUGUACACAUCGCCCGUCACUCACCCAACGUU